GACGAACGCUGGCGGCGUGCUUAACACAUGCAAGUCGAGCGGUAAGGCCCUUUCGGGGGUACACGAGCGGCGAACGGGUGAGUAACACGUGGGUGACCUGCCCUUAGCUCUGGGAUAAGCCUGGGAAACUGAGUCUAAUACCGGAUAUGACUCCAUGACGCAUGUUGUGGGGUGGAAAGCCUUGUGCGGCUAGGGAUGGGCCCGCGGCCUAUCAGCUUGUUGGUGGGGUGAUGGCCACCAAGGCGACGACGGGUAGCCGGCCUGAGAGGGCGACCGGCCACACUGGGACUGAGACACGGCCCAGACUCCUACGGGAGGCAGCAGUGGGGAAUCUUGCGCAAUGGGCGAAAGCCUGACGCAGCGACGCCGCGUGAGGGAUGACGGCCU
This 387-nucleotide ribosomal RNA is filed under the name uncultured bacterium. Its description in RNAcentral is "bacterial SSU rRNA". It matches the Rfam family "Bacterial small subunit ribosomal RNA", at positions 28 to 417 of the family's 1533-position model. The record is from RNAcentral.